RNAcentral lists this long non-coding RNA (1631 nucleotides) under Cinara cedri. Lineage: Eukaryota; Metazoa; Arthropoda; Insecta; Hemiptera; Aphididae. The record is from RNAcentral.
GAAAAAUGUUCAAUAAUACCGGGUGAAAAAUUUACAUUUUUAAGCUUUAUAAUCGUAGUUAGUAGUUCCAAUUUGAUGGGUGUUAAACCUACCACUUCUAUAACCGAGGACCUAACCUAAUGUGUAAGACCAAUUUUACUAACAAAAAAAUUUUCAAGAAAAUAACACAUCUUAGUAAAAUGAAUUACUUUUCUUCGGUACACUAUCAGAAUUUGAAUUAAGACGUAUAGUAUACGGAGUCGUGAAAUAUAAAAUAACGAGCCUCUUAUAUCGAUCAAUGAUGGUGAUAGGAAAUAACUUAUGAAAAAUGUUAAAUACCCCUUAUAUGGUUAAAACGGCGAUUAAAUGUUAGUACAUAAUAUAUUUAUAUAUAUAUAUAUAUACGAUAGUUUUAGAUUCUGCGCGGUAUAAGGACCUAUUGAUUUUGCAAUAAUGUGCGAUUAUCUACCCUUUCCCUCUUUCCUGUUCCUUGUCCACAGUAAAACGCUUUACAAACAGUAAAACGUAAGCACCAAAUUUGUCAUACGGUUUUCUCCGUAAAAUAUAUAGGGAAUCGUAUACAGACUACAGUGCAGGUUACCUACCUACUACAGAGAGUUUUUUUUUCAAUUUCCCUUAAAGUAAUUUAAAAAAAAAAAAAAUACCUAUAUAAAAAUAAAAACUGUAUAAAACCAAACAAAUAACAAUAUAUAUUACGUUUUUUUUUCGUUUGUAGCACACCAGUUCUUUAAUCAAAAUAUAUAUUAACUGUUUUUUUUAGAUAUAAACCGAUCUUCAGUCCAAAUCUGAAUAAUAAUUCUGAAAUAAAAAUUAAACCGAAUUUCUCUGGGAUAACUGAAAUAAAAAAAACGAGUGAAAAAACUAGUUGCAGUGACAUGACAUUCCAUUAUUACUAACAUACUAAUUUAAAACCAAACACGUACCUAUUGCUGAAAAAAAAAAAACAACUUACAAUCCGAAAAUUUCACGAGACAUUUAAAUUUGCACAUAAAAUAUCAUUCCAGAUUCGGUAUAAUUCUAUUUUUAUCUCACUUUUUUUUUAUAUUAUCAUUAUCACGUCUAUUAAACUAUUAAUAAAGGUUUACAAAUUAUGGGUUUUACGGCGCAGGUUUUUGGUAUCCUUAUUUAACUAAACUCAAGUCAGUGAAAAUUAGAACUUGUUCAAAAUAAGUUCCUCUCUCAUGCCGUUUUUAUCAUAACUUCCCAAUUUAUUUUUAUAACAGUAGCACACUGUACACCAAUCAACAUUAUUCAUGUUUUUGUUUACUAAGUUUUAUACCUUCGCUUCUUUUACUUUUCUUUCGCCUUUAUUGUCACUAUGUGGGAUCGGUUACCCCCAAAAAUUCGACUGAGGUACUCAAUCUCCCACAUCAUCUUCUUAUACAUCGGCUGUCUUCAUAUCAUUCUUAAUCGCAUCCACAAAAAUGUUUGGAUGUCUUGACUUAUUGAGUAUGGAACAUUGGAACAAUGUAUUUAGCUUUAAAUUAAGUGGAAAUUUAGUUUAAUUAGUAGUAUAGUUGACUAGUAAUUAAAUGUUGGUUGUCAAUAAGCAAUAAACUUAUAGACAUUAAAUAAUAUCUUAAUGGGAGACUUAAAUCAACUAUAUAUUGAAAUAUUAAUCUGAGAUAAUU